RNAcentral lists this non-coding RNA (82 nucleotides) under Streptomyces sparsogenes DSM 40356. Lineage: Bacteria; Bacillati; Actinomycetota; Actinomycetes; Kitasatosporales; Streptomycetaceae. The record is from RNAcentral.
GGGAAGCCGGUGAGAAUCCGGCGCUGACCCGCAACCGUGAGUACGGGCUGUGUGUGCCGCAGGGCGUACGAGCCGGAGCACC